RNAcentral lists this ribosomal RNA (492 nucleotides) under uncultured bacterium. RNAcentral describes it as "partial 16S ribosomal RNA". It matches the Rfam family "Bacterial small subunit ribosomal RNA", at positions 29 to 507 of the family's 1533-position model. The record is from RNAcentral.
AGUGAACGCUGGCGGUAGGCCUAACACAUGCAAGUCGAACGGCAGCACAGUAAGAGCUUGCUCUUACGGGUGGCGAGUGGCGGACGGGUGAGGAAUACAUCGGAAUCUACUUUUUCGUGGGGGAUAACGUAGGGAAACUUACGCUACUACCGCAUACGACCUACGGGUGAAAGCAGGAGAUCUUCGGACCUUGCGCGAUUGAAUGAGCCGAUGUCGGAUUAGCUAGUUGGCGGGGUAAAGGCCCACCAAGGCGACGAUCCGUAGCUGGUCUGAGAGGAUGAUCAGCCACACUGGAACUGAGACACGGUCCAGACUCCUACGGGAGGCAGCAGUGGGGAAUAUUGGACAAUGGGCGCAAGCCUGAUCCAGCCAUACCGCGUGGGUGAAGAAGGCCUUCGGGUUGUAAAGCCCUUUUGUUGGGAAAGAAAAGCAGCAUGUUAAUCCCCCGCUGUUCUGACGGUACCCAAAGAAUAAGCACCGGCUAACUUCGUG